This 164-nucleotide ribosomal RNA is filed under the name Rheum coreanum. RNAcentral describes it as "5.8S ribosomal RNA". It matches the Rfam family "5.8S ribosomal RNA". Rfam says of the family: 5.8S ribosomal RNA (5.8S rRNA) is a component of the large subunit of the eukaryotic ribosome. It is transcribed by RNA polymerase I as part of the 45S precursor that also contains 18S and 28S rRNA. Functionally, it is thought that 5.8S rRNA may be involved in ribosome translocation. Lineage: Eukaryota; Viridiplantae; Streptophyta; Magnoliopsida; Caryophyllales; Polygonaceae. The record is from RNAcentral.
AGAAUGACUCUCGACAACGGAUAUCUCGGCUCUCGCAUCGAUGAAGAACGUAGCAAAAUGCGAUACUUGGUGUGAAUUGCAGAAUCUCGUGAACCACCGAGUCUUUGAACGCAAGUUGCGCCCGAAGCCUUCUGGCCGAGGGCACGUCUGUCUGGGCAUCACAC